UACGAAGGGGGCUAGCGUUGCUCGGAAUCACUGGGCGUAAAGCGCACGUAGGCGGAUCGUUAAGUCAGGGGUGAAAGCCCGAGGCUCAACCUCGGAACUGCCUUCGAUACUGCGGGUCUCGAGUCCGGGAGAGGUGAGUGGAAUUCCUAGUGUAGAGGUGAAAUUCGUAGAUAUUAGGAAGAACACCAGUGGCGAAGGCGGCUCACUGGCCCGGUACUGACGCUGAGGCGCGAAAGCGUGGGGAGCAAACAGG
This 253-nucleotide ribosomal RNA is filed under the name uncultured bacterium. RNAcentral describes it as "partial 16S ribosomal RNA". It matches the Rfam family "Bacterial small subunit ribosomal RNA", at positions 524 to 776 of the family's 1533-position model. The record is from RNAcentral.